GACGAACCGUGCGAACGUUAUUCGGAAUCACUGGGCUUAAAGCGCGUGUAGGCGGGAGGGCACGUCCGUUGCUGAAAUCCCCCGGCUCAACCGGGGAACGGGCGCGGAUACGACUCUCCUUGAGGGGCGUAGGGGGACCUGGAACUUCCGGUGGAGCGGUGAAAUGCGUUGAGAUCGGAAGGAACGCCCGUGGCGAAAGCGAGCCCCUGGACGUCUACUGACGCUGAGACGCGAAAGCCAGGGGAGCGAACAGG
This 254-nucleotide ribosomal RNA is filed under the name uncultured bacterium. Its description in RNAcentral is "partial 16S ribosomal RNA". It matches the Rfam family "Bacterial small subunit ribosomal RNA", at positions 524 to 776 of the family's 1533-position model. The record is from RNAcentral.